Molecule: small nucleolar RNA, 132 nt
Organism: Mastomys coucha (southern multimammate mouse)
Lineage: Eukaryota; Metazoa; Chordata; Mammalia; Rodentia; Muridae
Product: small nucleolar RNA SNORA17
Exons: 1
Source: RefSeq, a predicted model, not a curated record
CCUGCCCCUAGAAGUCUUGCAGGUUUGACUGUUGUGUUACAUGUUGGUCAGUAGGUGGCAAAGAGGAGAUCCUAUGCCUGAGCUCAGUGUUCUGACCUAUCACAACGUCUGAAUGAUUAGUAGCCUGACAGU